AAUGGCACUGAAAUCCCUCCUCGACAGCAAAUGCACCACCCAGUACUUCAGACCACCACCCCUGAAGGUUUCGAUCCUCAAAUUAAUUGAUGCCCCAAAAGUUAUUUUGUGGGAUUUUUCCAACACCGUGGUCACACCAGCCACCACAAAACAUAAUAAGGUGGCCGUUGUUUCAGACGGCCAGACAUGCACAAAAAUCACACUCUUUGAAGAAUUUGGUGAUAGGAUCAUAGAGGGUUGUACCUACAUAAUUAGAGGACACACGAUCAGGGGCAGUGGUCCUCCCUACUACCUGAAUAUUACAAACUUGGUGGUGACAGAGGAACUGCACCAACAGGCUGAGGCCCUGCUCUACCCAGCGUCACCUCUCACUAAAAUCUUUGAGUGCCAGGCGUCACAGGGCCACAUGACUGUGGAGGGCGAGGUAGUAGAGGCACUACCAGUCAAGAAAGUAAAGCUUGGCAGUGACUGUGUCCCUUUAAAAAAGGUGACACUGCAACAGGGUAGUGACAAGGUGGAGCUGUGCCUCUGGCGGGAGGCGGCUGUUGAAAGAGUGCAGGUUGGGGAGAAGUUGACGGUGACCCACCUCAAGGUCACCAAAAAUGGCAACCUGCAAUCAACUGUCCAUACCACCUUCAAGAAACCAGAGCCUGAAGUUAAGGAGGGCUCCAUCCUGGGGGUAAUGGAGCUGCACCGGGAGCAGGGGUUCCUCCAGGUUAUGCUUGAGGACAAUUCCAUUUUUGUCAUCAGCCAGGAGCUAUGGUCCCCACUGAAUGAGGAGUUGGUCAAUGGGACAAUUAAAGUGGCAAUGACCACCCAAGGGGGACAAAUUAUCAAUAUAAUCAGAAAGGAAGAGUGAAGGGGUGGCGGGGUUGCAAAAUGUAGGGGGGGGCGGGGGUG
Molecule: long non-coding RNA, 900 nt
Filed under: Sparus aurata (gilthead seabream)
Lineage: Eukaryota; Metazoa; Chordata; Actinopteri; Spariformes; Sparidae
Description: lncRNA (ENSSAUG00010001208.1)
Source: RNAcentral